GCCACCAUAUAGCUCAGUGGUUGAGCACUGGUCUUGUAAACUGUGGGUCGUGAGUUCAAUCCUCACUGGUGGCU
Molecule: non-coding RNA, 74 nt
Organism: Araneus ventricosus
Lineage: Eukaryota; Metazoa; Arthropoda; Arachnida; Araneae; Araneidae
Source: the annotation of a GenBank genome assembly